This 298-nucleotide ribosomal RNA is filed under the name uncultured soil bacterium. RNAcentral's name for it is "partial 16S ribosomal RNA". It matches the Rfam family "Bacterial small subunit ribosomal RNA", at positions 26 to 302 of the family's 1533-position model. The record is from RNAcentral.
AGGACGAACGCUGGCGGCGUGCCUAAUGCAUGCAAGUCGAGCGACGAAUAGGUGAGGGUAACCAAGCCUAUUACGGAGCGGCGAACGGGUGAGUAACACGUGAGCAACCUGCCCCGAAGACCGGGAUAGCCCAGGGAAACUUGGAUUAAUACCGGAUAUCCUCUUUGAUCGCAUGGUCGUUGGAGGAAAUGUCUUUUACGCGUUCGGGAUGGGCCUCGCGGCCUAUCAGUCGUUGGUUGGUACGGGGUAACGGCCUACCGAAGGCCGUACGACGGGUAGCGUGGUCUAGGAGAGGACG